ACCCGCACAAGCGGUGGAUGAUGUGGAUUAAUUCGAUGCAACGCGAAAACCUUACCUACCCUUGACAUGUCUGGAACCUUGCUGAGAGGCGAGGGUGCCUUCGGGAGCCAGAACACAGGUGCUGCAUGGCUGUCGUCAGCUCGUGUCGUGAGAUGUUGGGUUAAGUCCCGCAACGAGCGCAACCCUUGUCAUUAGUUGCCAUCAUUUAGUUGGGCACUCUAAUGAGACUGCCGGUGACAAACCGGGAGGAAGGUGGGGAUGACGUCAAGUCCUCAUGGCCCUUAUGGGUAGGGCUUCACACGUCAUACAAUGGUAGGUACAGAGGGCUGCGAAGCCGCGAGGUGGAGCGAAUCCCAGAAAACCUGUCUCAGUCCGGAUUGAAGUCUGCAACUCGACUUCAUGAAGGCGGAAUCGCUAGUAACCGCGAAUCAGCAGGUCGCGGUGAAUACGUUCCCGGGCCUU
Molecule: ribosomal RNA, 462 nt
Filed under: uncultured Thauera sp.
Lineage: Bacteria; Pseudomonadati; Pseudomonadota; Betaproteobacteria; Rhodocyclales; Zoogloeaceae
Description: bacterial SSU rRNA
Rfam family: Bacterial small subunit ribosomal RNA
Source: RNAcentral